This 427-nucleotide ribosomal RNA is filed under the name uncultured bacterium. Its description in RNAcentral is "bacterial SSU rRNA". It matches the Rfam family "Bacterial small subunit ribosomal RNA", at positions 355 to 774 of the family's 1533-position model. The record is from RNAcentral.
UGGGGAAUUUUGGACAAUGGGCGCAAGCCUGAUCCAGCAAUGCCGCGUGCAGGAUGAAGGCCUUCGGGUUGUAAACUGCUUUUGUACGGAACGAAAAAGCUCUCUCUAAUACAGGGGGUGAAUGACGGUACCGUAAGAAUAAGCACCGGCUAACUACGUGCCAGCAGCCGCGGUAAUACGUAGGGUGCAAGCGUUAAUCGGAAUUACUGGGCGUAAAGCGUGCGCAGGCGGUUUUGUAAGACAGAUGUGAAAUCCCCGGGCUUAACCUGGGAACUGCGUUUGUGACUGCAAGGCUGGAGUACGGCAGAGGGGGGUGGAAUUCCACGUGUAGCAGUGAAAUGCGUAGAGAUGUGGAGGAACACCAAUGGCGAAGGCAGCCCCCUGGGCCUGUACUGACGCUCAUGCACGAAAGCGUGGGGAGCAAACA